UAGGGAAUCUUCGGCAAUGGGGGGAACCCUGACCGAGCAACGCCGCGUGAGUGAAGAAGGUUUUCGGAUCGUAAAGCUCUGUUGUUAAGGAAGAACGAGUGUGAGAAUGGAAAGUUCAUGCUGUGACGGUACUUAACCAGAAAGGGACGGCUAACUACGUGCCAGCAGCCGCGGUAAUACGUAGGUCCCGAGCGUUGUCCGGAUUUAUUGGGCGUAAAGCGAGCGCAGGCGGUUAGAAAAGUCUGAAGUGAAAGGCAGUGGCUCAACCAUUGUAGGCUUUAGAAACUGUUUAACUUGAGUGCAGAAGGGGAGAGUGGAAUUCCAUGUGUAGCGGUGAAAUGCGUAGAUGUAUGGAGGAACACCGGUGGCGAAAGCGGCUCUCUGGUCUGUAACUGACGCUGAGGCGCGAAAGCGUGGGGAGCGAACAGG
This 429-nucleotide ribosomal RNA is filed under the name Bacteroidota bacterium. Its description in RNAcentral is "Bacteroidetes bacterium partial 16S ribosomal RNA". It matches the Rfam family "Bacterial small subunit ribosomal RNA", at positions 355 to 776 of the family's 1533-position model. The record is from RNAcentral. Lineage: Bacteria; Pseudomonadati; Bacteroidota.